This 171-nucleotide ribosomal RNA is filed under the name Clostridium sp. enrichment culture. RNAcentral describes it as "partial 16S ribosomal RNA". It matches the Rfam family "Bacterial small subunit ribosomal RNA", at positions 337 to 525 of the family's 1533-position model. The record is from RNAcentral. Lineage: Bacteria; Bacillati; Bacillota; Clostridia; Eubacteriales; Clostridiaceae.
UCCUACGGGAGGCAGCAGUGGGGAAUAUUGCGCAAUGGGGGAAACCCUGACGCAGCGACGCCGCGUGAAGGAAGAAGGCCUUCGGGUUGUAAACUUCUUUGAUCGGGGACGAAGAUGACGGUACCCGAGGAACAAGCCACGGCUAACUACGUGCCAGCAGCCGCGGUAAUA